This 460-nucleotide ribosomal RNA is filed under the name uncultured bacterium. RNAcentral describes it as "partial 16S ribosomal RNA". It matches the Rfam family "Bacterial small subunit ribosomal RNA", at positions 338 to 795 of the family's 1533-position model. The record is from RNAcentral.
CCUACGGGGGGCAGCAGUGAGGAAUAUUGGUCAAUGGGCGCGAGCCUGAACCAGCCAAGUAGCGUGAAGGAUGACUGCCCUACGGGUUGUAAACUUCUUUUAUAAGGGAAUAAAGUGCAGUACGUGUACUGCUUUGCAUGUACCUUAUGAAUAAGGAUCGGCUAACUCCGUGCCAGCAGCCGCGGUAAUACGGAGGAUCCGAGCGUUAUCCGGAUUUAUUGGGUUUAAAGGGAGCGUAGGAGGGUUGUUAAGUCAGUUGUGAAAGUUUGCGGCUCAACCGUAAAAUUGCAGUUGAUACUGGCAGCCUUGAGUACAGUAGAGGUAGGCGGAAUGCGUGGUGUAGCGGUGAAAUGCUUAGAUAUCACGAAGAACUCCGAUUGCGAAGGCAGCCUGCUGGACUGCAACUGACGCUGAUGCUCGAAAGUGUGGGUAUCAAACAGGAUUAGAUACCCGGGUAGUC